Molecule: ribosomal RNA, 84 nt
Filed under: Beesia calthifolia
Lineage: Eukaryota; Viridiplantae; Streptophyta; Magnoliopsida; Ranunculales; Ranunculaceae
Description: partial 5.8S ribosomal RNA
Rfam family: 5.8S ribosomal RNA
About the family: 5.8S ribosomal RNA (5.8S rRNA) is a component of the large subunit of the eukaryotic ribosome. It is transcribed by RNA polymerase I as part of the 45S precursor that also contains 18S and 28S rRNA.
Source: RNAcentral
AGAAUCCCGUGAACCAUCGAGUCUUUGAACGCAAGUUGCGCCCGAGGCCAUUAGGUUGAGGGCACGUCUGCCUGGGCGUCACAC